ACACCGAGUGAUAAAAGGGGCGGAAAUUAGUUUGUCAUAGAAGAGAAUUAAUGAUACCGCAAAGGCCUUCUGUUAUGCUCUACUCAUCAUGGAUGCGAUAGCCAAGUGUUGUGAUAUAAUUUGCUGGUGCAAUACAAUUUUUUGACCUGAUGAAAGUAUAUUACUGUGGUAUAUACUUGCAAUUUUAAGCUGUUUAAUAAUUAUUAAUUGGCUAAUGCGAAUUACAUGGCAUUUGUUGUGGAAUAUGGAUGGAUUCCAGCAGGUAUUGAGAAUCAUCUGUUAAAAUUUACAUUGUUAUCUGUUGUAUCUUACGAGAUUAGGUUUUGUUUUUUGGAACUUUAGGACUUAGCGGGGGUCUCAGAGAUUCAUGAACUUUUUUGUAAUAAGAUAAACAAAUCUCAAAGGUGAAUUGUAUUAGUAAAUAAUAUACAUGGCAAAGUGUUUCGAGAGUUGUGUUUGGAUCGGAUUUAGCUAUAUCUAAAUUACAAUCCAAAUAUUAUCGGGUUUAGAAAUUAAAUUCAAAUUUAUGGAUUCUGGAUCGGAUUAGAUUUUUAUUUUCGGGUAUCUAAAUUUUUAAGUAAUGUUGUAUAGUUCAAAAUUCUUUAUACUAGCAUAUACUAAAACUUUUUCUUAUCCAAGCGAAGAAUAACACACACAAAGUUCUUUGGAGUCCUCAGUUUAGUUAGUUAUCCAGCCGUGAUGCCUCCGCGGCCUGUAGUGCUAGAAACACUAUUAGGGGAGAGGAGAAAAGCAGUGGUGAUAUUGGGUGCAUGUGUAUAGCACUGGUUGGAGAAGACAAACAACCACCGAUGGUGGUGGUGAGCGAGGGAGGGAGGGAUGGAGAUUGACUAGUGUUUGGCAGUGGCGUUAGUGGUGAUUAUUGGAGUUGAUUGUGGUGAUGAUGGAUGUAUGCAUGUAUUUGUUAAAUUAAAAACUGCUAAUAAAAUACUUGAAAGACCACCUAUCCAGUUAUCCAAUAUUGGACUUGAAAGAUUACCUAUCCAUCCACCCAAUAUUGUUUAAUCAUGCGGUCACAAUUAAUCUUGUGUGAAAAACUGGAGAUAAAAAAUAAUUCACUCAUAUUGUAGAAACUCCAUAACAUAAUAUUAUGUUAAGGGUCAUGUUUCAUACCAACUGGUUGCCGACAAAGGGUUAUCUAACACACUGUAUGAGAGCCAUUAGAUUUAGACUUUAAGGGCUCAGAUCCAAUUUUGGGUUUUUAAUGUAUCCGCUGUAAAUAUCCGCGGAAUGAAAGUUUUCCAAUAUCCGCGGAAAGGGAGAAAUAUCCGUGGAUACAUUAAAAACCCAAGAUUGGAUCUGAGCCCUUUAAAAUCUAAAUCUAACGGCCUCUGUACAGAGUGUUACCGUACAGUGUGUUUGAUAACCCCUUCCCGGCAACCGGUUGGUAGGGAACAUGACCCUUAUGUUAAUAUGUUAAUUUAUUUUUUAUAAAAUUGCAUAUGAAAUUUAUGGUAAUAUCUUGUUUUUGUUCAUACUAAUUUUGAGAUUAUUUGUUUAUACUUAUUCUUUUAAACAAUUAUAAUAUUCACUCUUAAUACAGAAAACAUCAUAUUAAUUAUUUUUUUCAUAAUGACUUAUCUUAUUAUUCUAAGUUAUUGUAAUAAUAUUCUUAAGAAUUUCAUCUGAUUAUACUAUAUUGUAAUAAUAUUUUUAAGAAUUUGUUGUAUAUUUUUAUGAGUAUCUUAAUGAACUUAUAAUUAUAUUAACAUUUUAUUGAACUUCUAAUUAUAUUGUAUUAAUACAUUAAACUGAUAAUUUUAGAGAAAUAUAUUGAUUAUUGAUUAUUUAAUUUUAAUUAUAUUUUUAAUAAAUUAAGUAUAAUUUUAAAAUACUGCAAGAACUAAAAGAUAUAAAAAAGGUUGUGUGUAUGUUAACGCUAGUUUCAGAAAACAGUCCAACACUCUUAAUGCUAGUUUUGAAAAGCAGUCCAACACUUUUAAUUCUUCAUCACUCAAUCGGCCCCGCAAGAACAGUUUUAAGACGGUUUUAUGUUGGAUCAGCGCGGGAUCUCAAGACAACAACUAAAAUUCAGAAGCAUAUUUAUGUGUUUUAUAUAUGUAUAGAUGGAGAAUUGGUAGUGAUAUAAAGAUAUGGAUCAAAUUUAGAGAAUGUUUUUGUUAUAGAAUGAAAAAUUAUGUAACAUGCCUAUUUAUGUGUUUUAUGUAUGUAUAUGUUCAGAAUUGUAGGAUAGAUUGACUGUUUGUGUGUGCUUGAAUUGAGUAUAUAUAGAAGGAUUAAGCAGUAAUAAAUUACAACAGUUACAAUCAGCUUGUUUGUAAACUAUGUAGCCAUGGUUGCGAAGUUGCAACCAUUAUUUAAAUACAUCAAUAUUAGUUGUAAUUACUAAUUGACAAGUUAUAAAUUAAUGUUAAUGUUAUAUUUGGUUGUAGAAAAUGGUAAACAUGUUUUUAUACUACAACGCGGUGGAUAAUGGGAUGAAAACAAAAAUUAUAUCAAUUUUAAGGUAUAUGGGUUGUUUAUUCCCAACGAUUGUAACUAUAAUAACUUGGUCGCAACAAUAUACAUCGAACUUUAGAAACUAUUGUACUUAAGAAUAAAAUAAAGUAUUAAGCAAGAGAUGGAUCCCUUCUUUCAAAAUAGUUGAUGAUAGUCAAUUCAUGUUCUAUAUGUAGCUGAAGAAAAAGGUAUCUAAUUACACAAAGUUUUUUUUUUUGCUUGAUAAAUGAAAUGAAAAGUUCUAACUCUUUUGCCACGACACGCUAUUUGUUGUGUUUUCAGCCUACACAAUCAAAAUAUGGUGCAUCAAAUGUCGUUCAUAAGUAGUCUGUUGGCACUAUUUCAAAAAAAUUGACAACAUUUAUCUUGCUACUUAAAUAUUCUUGCUUUAACUAUUUUUAUCAAUUACAAUUAUUGCUGCAAAAGUUGCAAACCUGUUUGUUGUAGUUGCAACCAUGGUUGCAACCUUUGUCAUUCUAAUGGAACAACAAUAAAUAUAACACUUUUGUUUAAACUAAUGUUAAAUCAACUGCUCAAUCCAUCAAAUGACUCAGUGUUCAAUAUUUUUGUAAUGCCGACAACAAAUCUAUUAUCAAUUUGGUGACCAAAAAUUGUAAAUCCGAAAGGUGAUUCAUGAUAUUGCUUCAAUAAAAUAUCACAAAUACAUGUUCUCCGCAUAUCUUUAUACGAUAUAUAUUUUGUUGUAAAACAGGUUUCAGAAAACCUACUUGUCCAAAUAUAAUUGCUGUUUUGUAGAAAAUAAAUAAUAAUCCUUAUGAUUAUUGUUCAUCAUAUUACACAAAACCAACAACGAUUGUUGCUUAUAUAGAAUUAGCAUAUUAAUUCAGUUGGCAAUAAAGACACAUAAAAAGUACCAGAAUAUCAAAGCGAGGAAAAUAUACCCACAAAGACAGGAUCAUAAUAGGAAGACCAAAAAAGAGAAGGUACAAAGUUGCCUGAAAGACGAAUAUGCCAACUUAACAAGUCAAUUGUGGGGAUACGGUUAAUGAAUACAUUAUAGAAGAACUUGUAGAAACCCAUCAUCUAAAUAAAUAAUUUAGUUAUUUACAAAUUACGAUGUAAACUGUAAAUUGCUAAGUUGAUUAAGUUUUAAGUAGUAAUGGAAUUGAUAUGGCACGUGUUUUUAAAUUUCCAAGUUCUUUUUAUUACGAGGAAAAUUUCCAAGUUCGAGUGAAGUCAGAAGAAGGGCAUUAUCCGUGUUAAAAUCAUUUGCAAAAGUAUGAUCCUAAAUCAGUUAUAAAAGUCUGUUUUUUGAUUGUUUGGCCAAAUAUACUGUGCAUGUGCUGUUCAGCUGAUUUUUUUUUAUGACAUUUGAAAUCCUUACCCAGGCCAAUCCGACUGUGACUAUGACCUAUAUCACAGUAUUCGGCCCUUCCCUUGCUGAUUGCUUAAAAGAUGCAAGCACUCCUGUCAGACUUGCCGCAGAGAGGUGUGCAUUGCAUGCCUUCCAAUUAUCAAAAGGUUUGUGAAUGCAUCUAUCUAUCUAUAUAUGGAGAUGUUCUAUUUUUUCAUUUUUCUUCCACUGCUUGUUAUAAUAUUUGGAUAUUUUUUACUGCUUGGAAUAUUCAAUACAGGAGGCUUCCUACUUCUUGUAGAUGCUUGCAGUAUAUCUUUAUGUUUCUGAUUGCUUAAGACUUUUGUAAUUAUUGUUUAUUUUCUAUUAAAUAAUUUUCAGGGACAGACAAUAUUCAAACUUCACAGAAAUUCAUAACAGGCUUGGAUGCUAGACGCAUUUCGAAGUUCCCUGAACAUAGGUAAUUUAUAGGGUUUUUUUUACAUGUUCUCCUUAGUUGCUCUGUAUUGAAAUAAAAGCUUCUAAAAAAGUGAAAACUGUUAAAAUAUCUCAAAAUUAAACGUCCACGGUAUUGCAACAUUUCUAGUUUUCAAGGGUUCCACCAGUGUGAAGGCAAAAAGAAAAAGAAAAGUACUGAUAUCUCUUAAACUGUUAAAUGUAUAUAGUUUUCUGGUCUCCUCAAAGCUAUGUGGUUUUUGUAUACUCCUUCCUUUGCAGGGAGUUCAAAGUAAUCACUUUCAUAUUUAUGUGAAAGUUUGUAUAAGAAGGUUCUGAUACAAUACAGUGGUCGACUUCAUACCCAAUUUUUUCUUCAUAUGCAUUUAAAUUUCCAUUUAAGCAGAACCUGCUGAGGUAAUACAUAUACUAAUUAUGAGUGUGCCACAUCUCACUAGCUUUGUAGUAGUAGGCCACAUUUUAAUAAUAACAUUGAGAUCCGCAGUGAUCAAACUAACUCACAUAUUUGACAAUUACUCAUCUUCUUGGUCUAUUCUUUCCACCGUGGAAGCAAUUACAGAGGUUUGGUGCCCAAUAAUCACAACUCACAAGUUGCAUCCUUCCAUUACUAGAUCUGUAGUAUGGUCAUUUGUUUUAGUGCUAUGAGUCAAAUCUUUUAAAGCGAAACUAUUCAGUGUGCCUUGUUUGUCCAUGAGAAUUAACGAAUAUGCUGUUUAUAGCUAAGAUUUAUUUUAAAAUUAUUGCCUAUUUUUGUAAGAUUUUGCACUGAUGUUUAUGCAAGUUUUUGCACUAAUUUUUCUGUUGUAUUUUUUGAGUGCUCAUUGAGUUAUUAUAACUGCUGAAAUACUUUUUGAUGCAGUGAUGACAGUGAAGACAGCGACAAUGACUUGUUAAUUGGCUGAUUUAUGUUUUAUUUUAUUAGAAAUUGUUUCACCUUUCAUAGGCCUUGCCCUGGUGAAAGUUUUACAGAAGUAAUUAACAGCCAGAAGUUUCCCAGCACAUUAUUUAUACUUGAAUUAGAACCCAUUAAAAUGAUAGAUCCCUGUUUUUCUCGAUGUAAUUGUUCAUGUAGAAAUUUUGAACACCGAGUGAUAAAAGGGGCGGAAAUUAGUUUGUCAUAGAAGAGAAUUAAUGAUACCGCAAAGGCCUUCUGUUAUGCUCUACUCAUCAUGGAUGCGAUAGCCAAGUGUUGUGAUAUAAUUUGCUGGUGCAAUACAAUUUUUUGACCUGAUGAAAGUAUAUUACUGUGGUAUAUACUUGCAAUUUUAAGCUGUUUAAUAAUUAUUAAUUGGCUAAUGCGAAUUACAUGGCAUUUGUUGUGGAAUAUGGAUGGAUUCCAGCAGG
RNAcentral lists this long non-coding RNA (5593 nucleotides) under Daucus carota (carrot). RNAcentral's name for it is "long non-coding RNA (DCAR_LNC006281)". The record is from RNAcentral. Lineage: Eukaryota; Viridiplantae; Streptophyta; Magnoliopsida; Apiales; Apiaceae.